RNAcentral lists this ribosomal RNA (254 nucleotides) under uncultured bacterium. RNAcentral describes it as "partial 16S ribosomal RNA". It matches the Rfam family "Bacterial small subunit ribosomal RNA", at positions 524 to 776 of the family's 1533-position model. The record is from RNAcentral.
UACGGAGGGGGCAAGCGUUGUCCGGACUCACUGGGCGUAAAGGGUGCGUAGGUGGCUUGCCACGUCGGUGCUGAAAGCGCCCGGCUUAACCGGGCGAGGCGUGCCGAUACGAGCGAGCUCGAGCCUCGGAGAGGGCGGUGGAACUCCUGGUGUAGUGGUGAAAUGCGUAGAGAUCAGGAAGAACACCCGUGGCGCAAGCGACCGCCUGGCCGAGUGCUGACCACUGAGGCACGAAAGCGUGGGGAGCGAACCGG